GACAGUUUGGCUUAGUGGUUAAGAGCUUUGGUACCAGAUGGAAUGGGUUCAAAUCCCAACUCUCU
This is a non-coding RNA of Pan troglodytes (chimpanzee), 65 nucleotides long. The record is from Rfam. NCBI's taxonomy places the organism in Eukaryota, Metazoa, Chordata, Mammalia, Primates, Hominidae.